CGGGGAUGAUUAGCGGCGGACGGGUGAGUAACACGUGGGUAACCUGCCUUAAUGAGGGGGAUAGCCUUCCGAAAGGAAGAUUAAUACCGCAUAAUAUUAAGUUUUCGCAUGAGAGCUUAAUCAAAGAUUUAUCGCAUUAAGAUGGGCCCGCGGCGCAUUAGCUAGUUGGUGAGGUAACGGCUCACCAAGGCCACGAUGCGUAGCCGACCUGAGAGGGUGACCGGCCACAUUGGGACUGAGACACGGCCCAGACUCC
This 256-nucleotide ribosomal RNA is filed under the name uncultured bacterium. RNAcentral's name for it is "partial 16S ribosomal RNA". It matches the Rfam family "Bacterial small subunit ribosomal RNA", at positions 83 to 339 of the family's 1533-position model. The record is from RNAcentral.